ACACGGUCCAGACUCCUACGGGAGGCAGCAGUGGGGAAUAUUGGACAAUGGGCGAAAGCCUGAUCCAGCCAUGCCGCGUGUGUGAAGAAGGUCUUCGGAUUGUAAAGCACUUUAAGUUGGGAGGAAGGGCAGUUACCUAAUACGUAAUUGUUUUGACGUUACCGACAGAAUAAGCACCGGCUAACUCUGUGCCAGCAGCCGCGGUAAUACAGAGGGUGCAAGCGUUAAUCGGAAUUACUGGGCGUAAAGCGCGCGUAGGUGGUUCGUUAAGUUGGAUGUGAAAUCCCCGGGCUCAACCUGGGAGCUGCAUUCAAAACUGUCGAGCUAGAGUAUGGUAGAGGGUGGUGGAAUUUCCUGUGUAGCGGUGAAAUGCGUAGAUAUANGAAGGAACACCAGUGGCGAAGGCGACCACCUGGACUGAUACUGACACUGAGGUGCGAA
Molecule: ribosomal RNA, 441 nt
Filed under: uncultured Gammaproteobacteria bacterium
Lineage: Bacteria; Pseudomonadati; Pseudomonadota; Gammaproteobacteria
Description: bacterial SSU rRNA
Rfam family: Bacterial small subunit ribosomal RNA
Source: RNAcentral